GAAGAAUUCCAAGCUCAAAACCUUUUACCCCUGAAGAAUUCCAAGCUCAAAACCCUUUACCCCUGAAGAAUUGCAAGCUCACAACCCUUUACCCGGCUGAAGAAUUCCAAGGUCAAAACCCUUUACCCCUGAAGAAUUCCAAGCUCAAAACCUUUUACCCCUGAAGAAUUCCAAGCUGAAAACCCUUUACCCCUGAAGAAUUCCAAGCUCUGAAAAAUUUCAAAUCAAACCUCCUUUAUACCCCUGAAGAAUUCCAAGCUCAAAACCCUUUACCCCUGGAGAAUUCCAAGCUCAAAACCCUUU
Molecule: non-coding RNA, 303 nt
Organism: Paramuricea clavata
Lineage: Eukaryota; Metazoa; Cnidaria; Anthozoa; Malacalcyonacea; Plexauridae
Source: the annotation of a GenBank genome assembly